AGUGAACGCUGGCGGUAGGCCUAACACAUGCAAGUCGAACGGCAGCACAGUAAGAGCUUGCUCUUACGGGUGGCGAGUGGCGGACGGGUGAGGAAUACAUCGGAAUCUACUUUUUCGUGGGGGAUAACGUAGGGAAACUUACGCUAAUACCGCAUACGACCUACGGGUGAAAGCAGGGGAUCUUCGGACCUUGCGCGAUUGAAUGAGCCGAUGUCGGAUUAGCUAGUUGGCGGGGUAAAGGCCCACCAAGGCGACGAUCCGUAGCUGGUCUGAGAGGAUGGCUCGGCACACUGGAACUUAGGCACGGUCCCGACCCCUACGGGAGGGAGCAGGGGGGAAAUUUGGGCAAUGGGGGAAAGCCUUACGCAACCACGCCGCGGGGGGGAAAAAGGGCCUUCGGGUUGUAAACCCUUUUUUUGGGGAAAAAAAAAAGGGGGGUUAAAUCCCCGCUGCUUUACGGUACCCAAAAAAAAAGCCACGGGUAACUUCGGG
RNAcentral lists this ribosomal RNA (492 nucleotides) under uncultured bacterium. RNAcentral describes it as "partial 16S ribosomal RNA". It matches the Rfam family "Bacterial small subunit ribosomal RNA", at positions 29 to 507 of the family's 1533-position model. The record is from RNAcentral.